GAGAAGGGCGCCCCUAAAGAGUGGGCCGCGAAGAUGUCGGCGCUCCUCCCGUCUCCGCCCGCUCAGUGAAAGUGGAAGGCCGGCCCCGCCCCCUGUCUCCGGGGUCGUUCGCUAAGCCCACUGCGGUAUUCCAUUGGAGCGCCAAGUUGGGGGGCGGCCGACCAUUGGUUCCGACUGAAGCUAAGCAAACCACUGAAAUGGUUCUAAGGGGGAGGUUUCCCGGGCGUGAGUGGCGCCGGUCCCGAGCCUCUCACGGUAGCGCGGUCCACCCAGCCGGGGCCGCAGUGCCUGGCUUGCCGGCCCUGCGCAACGUGGCAGGAAGAGCGGUGGGCAGGACCCGCUCCAGCGGAAAGCUUUAGGCCUGCGGGUCGGUCGGGUGGUAGGGCGCCCUCGUCAACUGCCCCGUCUCUGCGGGGAGCCCCUCCUUAGGGGCGACCCCUCUCCCGGUUCCGAGGCGGCCCCCAGGCGACCAGAGGCCGACUCCAGAGAGAAGGGAGGGAGGAAAGAAGGAAGGGAAGCGAUCGGGUUCGGUUCGGGGUUCCUCUCGGGCGUCGGAAGAGCAAGCCCUAAGCGAUGUUAGGGUGGGACGUUCCCAAACUGGAAAGAAACGCCUUCCCAUCCGGCCAUCCAGCCCCCCGUCCGAGGGGGUGGGGGGGGCUUCAGCGGAAGGGGAGAGGCCUCCCUUCUCGCCUGCCCUGCUGGGGCUAGAGCCCGAGUGAGGCUGCAAGUCCAUCCGGCCCGAUCCUUUCCCUGGUCCAGAGGGGACCCUGGAGCCCCCUCCCUCCCUCCUCCUCCUCCUCGCCCGCCCUCACUUGAUUCCUUUGCCCUUCUCCUCCGGCGCCAGAGGCCCUCCUUCUCUCGGGGAGAGCGAUUAACGAGGGUUCUAACGGCCGGGGAAACCCUUAAAACCCGGAGCGCUUCCCGGCACUCCACACAGGAAUCUGCCGUUUCCUCCUUCAUUCCUCCCACCCCUCAACGCCGCCCUUCCAGUAGCGCAGCAUUCCCCUGCCCCGUGUUUUCACCUCUUUCCCAUCCACACUGGGGGGAGCGAUCCUCGUAGGGCAGGUUUUACCUUCCUGUCUGAAGAAUUAGGCAAAAAAGGGGUAGGGGGAAAGUCCCAAAGAAGUGGGCAGAUGCAUAAACGAGCCCCAAUUAAUCACUGAUCUACCUUCUAGCCCCCAACUGCCACUUCAGCCCUUUCAGCGCUGCACGAAGCGGUUGGGAGCGUACAAUCGAGUAAGACACAAUCCUAGACCUCCAGGAGUUUACCUCCAUCCUUAAGUACUCAGACACAGAGAGCAAAAUUUAUUCCAGACCCUGCAUCUUGAUGUAUGCUAUUUCCUUCGAACAAAGAGCCCUUUCCCCAAGCUCUGCUGGAGUGGAAGUGAGAGUGCACGACCCAGUACGUAACCACAGAUGCUAAAGCAGGUGUCUGCUUCUCCACCCCUUCCCCCUCCCCCCCAAUUUAGCCUGGGACUGCACGACCUAAACGUUUAAUAAACACCAUACCGACUCUCAAUAACCGGCGAGCUGGUGGGUGAGUUUGUGGAGCGGGCAUGCAGUUUAAAAACAAUGCAUGUUGAGGGGAGGAAGCAAAAUACCAACCAUGCAGAUUGAUACUCGUCUACUUAACUGAAGUAAAAAUCCACCCAGGCAAGUAAUGAAAGAAGCAUCUUGUAAGUGCAACUAUUUUAGAUUAGAUUUGUUAUUCCACUUCCCUGGUGGCUCUGGGUAGUUCUGGCAGCUUCCCCAGCUUUGAGAAGAAAUGCGGGGAUGAUGUUAAAUGGCCUUGAAGUGUGUGGCCUGUCCGCCUAACAAGCUCCAUUUGCCUUCGCAGUUAUUUGGUCACGAUGAGGCAAAGUUGUCUCAACUCAGAACUUCUAGCUCUGAAUUGAUUCAAAAUGCCAUCUUCCCAUCAGACUGAGCAAAUAGUUUUGGGAAGAGGAAAACUCCCCAAAUCUUCUGAAACCUAGAUAGCUGGGAACCCUGAUCACAGCUCCGAGACCCUCUCAGGUCCCUGCUACCAAGUUCAGGAGAAGCUCUGGAAUCGAUAGCACCUUUCAGUCAAGGCUGGACAACCAUCAGUCAAUCAACCAAUCAAUGGCAUUGACUGAGCAUUUAUUGUGUGUAGAGCACUGUUCUAAACUCUUGGGAGAUUAUAAUAUGACAGAUUUGGUAGAGUGUGGAAGGAACCCAGGGUAACAGGGGGACAACAUGCUGUAGUGGAAAGGGCAUGGGGCUGAGUCAAGGAUCCUGGAUCCCAAUCCUGCACACAGUAAAGCGUUCAAUAAAUGCGAUUGAAUGAAUGAACUGAUCUCUUUGGACCUCAAUUUCUAUAAAAUGAGGGGAAUUCUUCUCCCUCUCCAACGUCACAGAGAUAUUGUCAGGACAAAUGAGCUGAUGUGAAUGGCUCUUUGGGGAGGAAAGAGCAUCAUAUGAAUUGAAGUUACCAUUAUUAUCAUCGUUAUUCUUAAAGCCCUCAGCCUGUCUUUUCUUCGAUUCCCUCUCUGCCAACAAAACCUCAAUCCAUGCAGAGGGAAAGGAAAUUGUCCAGUUCUUUUGUGUACAGGUUCCUAGUGGCAAUGGUUGGUGUGAUGUUUGUUGUGUCAUCUUCAGCUACCUCUUCUGUUUUCUCCCUGCACUCCUCUCCUCCUCCUCACUGCCUCCUGCUAUCACUUCAUUCCUACUGUAAUCCUUCCUAUUGCAUUUUCCUUUUCUUUCUACAAAGCAUCAGUCUGGCUUCCCAGACCCAAACCUAAGCCAGACCCUGAAACAUCAAAAAGUUUUUUUGUUUUAAAAAGCAGAGGAUGGAAUUUUCCCUUUUAAAAAUGCUGUUUGUAUGUCCAUGCCUUUUUAUGUACAUCUGUUUCACCUGCAUUCUUACAACUUUAGUUUUAUAAACUAUUACUGGGUAAACACUGACUUGUUAGUAAAAAUCUGUUUGACGACUGUGUCUAGCAGUGUGUAUUUGUUGGUGAUUGAC
This is a long non-coding RNA of Ornithorhynchus anatinus (platypus), 2983 nucleotides long. RefSeq lists it as uncharacterized. The transcript is spliced from 4 exons. The record is from RefSeq and is a predicted model, not a curated record. NCBI's taxonomy places the organism in Eukaryota, Metazoa, Chordata, Mammalia, Monotremata, Ornithorhynchidae.